This 254-nucleotide ribosomal RNA is filed under the name uncultured bacterium. RNAcentral describes it as "partial 16S ribosomal RNA". It matches the Rfam family "Bacterial small subunit ribosomal RNA", at positions 524 to 776 of the family's 1533-position model. The record is from RNAcentral.
CACGUAGGGUGCGAGCGUUGUCCGGAAUUAUUGGGCGUAAAGAGCUCGUAGGCGGUGUGUCGCGUCGGCCGUGAAAACCUGCAGCUUAACUGUGGGCUUGCGGUCGAUACGGGCAUCACUGGAGUUCGGCAGGGGAGACUGGAAUUCCUGGUGUAGCGGUGGAAUGCGCAGAUAUCAGGAGGAACACCGAUGGCGAAGGCAGAUCUCUGGGCCGUAACUGACGCUGAGGAGCGAAAGCAUGGGGAGCGAACAGG